GUGGGGAAUAUUGGGCAAUGGGGGAAACCCUGACCCAGCGACGCCGCGUGAGGGAAGACGGCCUUCGGGUUGUAAACCUCUUUUGUACGGGAAGAAGGAAGUGACGAUACUGUACGAAUAAGUCCCGGCUAACUACGUGCCAGCAGCCGCGGUAAUACGUAGGGGACGAGCGUUGUCCGGAAUUACUGGGCGUAAAGGGCGCGCAGGCUGUGCUGCAAGUCAGCUGUGAAAUGUCUGGGCUUAACCCGGGCAUGCGGUUGAGACUGCAGUGCUGGAGUGCUGUAGAGGCAAGUGGAAUUCCCAGUGUAGCGGUGAAAUGCGUAGAUAUUGGGAAGAACACCGGUGGCGAAGGCGACUUGCUGGGCAGCAACUGACGCUGAGGCGCGAAAGCCAGGGGAGCAAACGGGAUUAGAAACCCCGGUAGUCC
Molecule: ribosomal RNA, 427 nt
Filed under: uncultured bacterium
Lineage: Bacteria
Description: partial 16S ribosomal RNA
Rfam family: Bacterial small subunit ribosomal RNA
Source: RNAcentral